GGUAAUGUGGCUUAGUGGUAGAGUGCUUGCCUAGCAUGCAUGAAGCCCUGGGUUCAAUUCCUCAGUACCA
Molecule: non-coding RNA, 70 nt
Organism: Dipodomys ordii (Ord's kangaroo rat)
Lineage: Eukaryota; Metazoa; Chordata; Mammalia; Rodentia; Heteromyidae
Source: Rfam